AACCUGGUUGGGUGGUCUGCCUUCAUGGUACGUACUGCCUGGCCAGGUUCUACCUCUUGGUGAGCCGGCAUGCCCUUCACUGGGUGUGUCGGGGAACCAGGACUUUUACCUUGAGAAAAUUAGAGUGUUCAAAGCAGGCUCAUGCCCGAAUACAUUAGCAUGGAAUAACAAAGUAGGACGUGCGGUUCUAUUUUGUUGGUUUCUAGAGUCGCCGUA
This 216-nucleotide ribosomal RNA is filed under the name uncultured fungus. RNAcentral's name for it is "partial small subunit ribosomal RNA". The stretch from base 92 to 216 matches the Rfam family "Eukaryotic small subunit ribosomal RNA", at positions 738 to 864 of the family's 1831-position model. The record is from RNAcentral. Lineage: Eukaryota; Fungi.